Molecule: unclassified non-coding RNA, 443 nt
Filed under: Hevea brasiliensis (rubber tree)
Lineage: Eukaryota; Viridiplantae; Streptophyta; Magnoliopsida; Malpighiales; Euphorbiaceae
Source: RNAcentral
AACUUAUUAACCAUGUCCUCUCACACACAUUUUUCUUACACUUGUGACUAUUCCUUCAUAAUGUCCUUGAUGACAUUUAUAUAAUUCAAAUUAAAUUGACUAAUUACUUAGCACUCACCAAAAAACUUCUCUUCUUAGUUCAUCAUGUGCCUUUUUUAUAUCAAUAAAUACCAUGUAAAAAUCAUUCUUUUUCUUCCUACAAAUCUCCAUUGAUCUUCUUGAUAUAAGAGCUAAAGUUGCCCAUUGUCUAUGGAUAGUUACUGUGCAUCCUAGUUAGACAACUCCUUAUUAAUAUUCUUUAAAGGAAAUUUCUUACCUACAUCAAAGUAUAUAAACACCCAACUAAUAAAAGAUCACAUUCAUGCAUUUUUAAAUGGGACUCACUAUGAUUUGAUUGUAUACCUUGGUGUAAGUAAGAAAUUUUUUACCUACUAUGAUUUGAU